GAUGAACGCUGGCGGCGUGCCUAAUACAUGCAAGUCGAGCGAACAGAUAAGGAGCUUGCUCCUUUGACGUUAGCGGCGGACGGGUGAGUAACACGUGGGUAACCUACCUAUAAGACUGGGAUAACUUCGGGAAACCGGAGCUAAUACCGGAUAACAUUUGGAACCGCAUGGUUCUAAAGUGAAAGAUGGUUUUGCUAUCACUUAUAGAUGGACCCGCGCCGUAUUAGCUAGUUGGUAAGGUAACGGCUUACCAAGGCGACGAUACGUAGCCGACCUGAGAGGGUGAUCGGCCACACUGGAACUGAGACACGGUCCAGACUCCUACGGGAGGCAGCAGUAGGGAAUCUUCCGCAAUGGGCGAAAGCCUGACGGAGCAACGCCGCGUGAGUGAUGAAGGGUUUCGGCUCGUAAAACUCUGUUAUUAGGGAAGAACAAACGUGUAAGUAACUGUGCACGUCUUGACGGUCCCUAAUCAGAAAGCCACGGCUAACUACGUG
RNAcentral lists this ribosomal RNA (497 nucleotides) under uncultured bacterium. RNAcentral's name for it is "partial 16S ribosomal RNA". It matches the Rfam family "Bacterial small subunit ribosomal RNA", at positions 28 to 507 of the family's 1533-position model. The record is from RNAcentral.